Molecule: ribosomal RNA, 489 nt
Filed under: uncultured bacterium
Lineage: Bacteria
Description: partial 16S ribosomal RNA
Rfam family: Bacterial small subunit ribosomal RNA
Source: RNAcentral
GAUGAACGCUCGCUACAGGCUUACACAUGCAAGUCGCAGGGUAACAUGAGGAAAGCUUGCUUUCCUUGAUGACGACUGGCGCACGGGUGAGGAACGCGGAUCCAACCUUCCCAUAACUACGGGAUAACCCGUUGAAAGACGGCCUAAUACCGUAUGAUAUAGGUUGCUGACAUCAAAUAACGAUUAAAGGUUUAGCGGUUAUGGAUGGGGAUGCGUCUGAUUAGCUUGUUGGCGGGGUAACGGCCCACCAAGGCGACGAUCAGUAGGGGUUCUGAGAGGAAGGUCCCCCACAUUGGAACUGAGACACGGUCCAAACUCCUACGGGAGGCAGCAGUGAGGAAUAUUGGUCAAUGGGCGAGAGCCUGAACCAGCCAAGUAGCGUGCAGGACGACGGCCCUAUGGGUUGUAAACUGCUUUUAUGUGGGGAUAAAGUGCGUGACGUGUCAUGCAUUGCAGGUACCACAUGAAUAAGGACCGGCUAAUUCCGUG